AGCUGAACAAGAUGAACUCCAUUUUACCAGAAGCAUUGACACAAAUGGAAAGAAGAAUUACUGGAGGUUAUUUUUCACUGUUCCCUUAGUAAGGUUUCGGCAAAGAUCCUCAAAGCCCUGUUAUCCUGCAUGAUUCCACAUAUGAAUUCCCAACUCUGAUCUCAGCACCUAUUGCAGACGGAUAACCCUUCGCGCACACGCUGCAGGCAUUACCUAGGCGCCAUGCAGACGUCUCAGUGACCACCGGCACUUAAAAGCACUGGCCUGCUCAUCCUAACACACUUCACCCGUGCACUGUGUCAGCUCCCGAGUGUCCGUUGCCAGGUGAGCUCUUCCUGGCAAGUGUCCGCUGAAGAGGAUAUAGAUUCUCACUGAAGCUUUAGGGUUCUGCUCAAGUGAUGUAGUACAUCGUUCUGCAUAG
RNAcentral lists this long non-coding RNA (421 nucleotides) under Struthio camelus australis. RNAcentral describes it as "lncRNA (ENSSCUG00000003153.1)". Lineage: Eukaryota; Metazoa; Chordata; Aves; Struthioniformes; Struthionidae. The record is from RNAcentral.